AUUUUUUAAGCGCCUGAACCAAUAUGGUUGACGAGGUUUAGAGUUAUCGAAGUAUUCGGCGGAUGCUCUAAUGGCUUGACUUAGCCAAUAGUAUUUAUUAAAAAGCAGUAGUAAUAUUGUAACAGAGGUAAAUACA
Molecule: non-coding RNA, 136 nt
Filed under: chicken gut metagenome
Description: glmS glucosamine-6-phosphate activated ribozyme
Rfam family: glmS glucosamine-6-phosphate activated ribozyme aptamer
About the family: This entry contains a glucosamine-6-phosphate activated ribozyme that is found in the mRNA for GlmS. GlmS is an enzyme that uses fructose-6-phosphate and glutamine to generate glucosamine-6-phosphate.
Source: RNAcentral